Molecule: ribosomal RNA, 484 nt
Filed under: uncultured bacterium
Lineage: Bacteria
Description: partial 16S ribosomal RNA
Rfam family: Bacterial small subunit ribosomal RNA
Source: RNAcentral
AUUGAACGCUGGCGGCAGGCCUAACACAUGCAAGUCGAGCGGAUGAAGGGAGCUUGCUCCUGGAUUCAGCGGCGGACGGGUGAGUAAUGCCUAGGAAUCUGCCUGGUAGUGGGGGAUAACGUCCGGAAACGGGCGCUAAUACCGCAUACGUCCUGAGGGAGAAAGUGGGGGAUCUUCGGACCUCACGCUAUCAGAUGAGCCUAGGUCGGAUUAGCUAGUUGGUGGGGUAAAGGCCUACCAAGGCGACGAUCCGUAACUGGUCUGAGAGGACGAUCAGUCACACUGGAACUGAGACACGGUCCAGACUCCUACGGGAGGCAGCAGUGGGGAAUAUUGGACAAUGGGCGAAAGCCUGAUCCAGCCAUGCCGCGUGUGUGAAGAAGGUCUUCGGAUUGUAAAGCACUUUAAGUUGGGAGGAAGGGCAGUAAGUUAAUACCUUGCUGUUUUGACGGUACCAACAGAAUAAGCACCGGCUAACUUCGUG